Molecule: unclassified non-coding RNA, 300 nt
Filed under: fungal sp.
Lineage: Eukaryota; Fungi
Description: partial internal transcribed spacer region
Rfam family: Eukaryotic small subunit ribosomal RNA (bases 1-46)
Source: RNAcentral
AAGUCGUAACAAGGUAACCGUAGGUGAACCUGCGGUUGGAUCAUUAACAAAUACAAAAAUGUCCCUUGCUGCUAAAACAGCCUGGGCUUUUUCAACACCUGUGAAUGUUUAUUGUCUCUGGUGGGUUAAAGGCAGCGUCUCUAUAAUGGAGCGUUGUGUUUUCCACGCCGUGCGCAGUCUCUGCGCACGUGCAUGGAAUCCACCCACCGCCAAAUCUAAACUACAUGCAUAUCUAUUAGCCUUUAAAUUUACACAAGUUGAAUGAAAAAACAACUUUUGGCAACGGAUCUCUAGGCUCUU